This 253-nucleotide ribosomal RNA is filed under the name uncultured bacterium. RNAcentral's name for it is "partial 16S ribosomal RNA". It matches the Rfam family "Bacterial small subunit ribosomal RNA", at positions 15 to 258 of the family's 1533-position model. The record is from RNAcentral.
GAUUAUGGCUCAGGAUGAACGCUAGCUACAGGCUUAACACAUGCAAGUCGAGGGGCAUCAGUUUGGUUUGCUUGCAAACCAAAGCUGGCGACCGGCGCACGGGUGAGUAACACGUAUCCAACCUGCCUCAUACUCGGGGAUAGCCUUUCGAAAGAAAGAUUAAUAUCCGAUAGCAUAUAUUUCCCGCAUGGGUUUUAUAUUAAAGAAAUUCGGUAUGAGAUGGGGAUGCGUUCCAUUAGUUUGUUGGGGGGGG